Meriones unguiculatus (Mongolian gerbil) is the source of this 9990-nucleotide long non-coding RNA. RefSeq lists it as uncharacterized. The record is from RefSeq and is a predicted model, not a curated record. The transcript has 2 exons. Lineage: Eukaryota; Metazoa; Chordata; Mammalia; Rodentia; Muridae.
ACCCUGCCUUAAGAGGCCAGAUUCGGUCACAGCCUCCUGCCAGGCCCACUGGUGAAGGCCUCCUGUGAGGGACCCAUGGGCUGAAGGCUAUGAGACUCUUGACCUUUGUCCUUCCAUGCCUCUGUACUGGUGACCUGGUGGCAGUGCCCUCCAAGCAAAGCUGGACAAAAUCCCUUGCCCAGGGUAGGGUUGAACCAUCCUGGGCGGGAAGAUCGCCAAGGACUCUAGAGUGCUAAGGAAGACACAGUGUGACGUAGGGACUUGAAUUUUUUUCUCGGGGGUCAGCUAGCACUUGGCUUGCCGGAGGAACAGGUCAGAAGCCUACACUCCGGGUAUGGAAGUCUUUGCUUAUUUACAGAAGCACCCAGCGGUCUUACAAACUCGGGUCCUUUUGCACAGUGGCUUAUGUUCUAUGUGUGACCUGAGCGGACGAAAAGACUUAGCUGGCGUUUCUUCCCCAAAGGAGCUUCUGCAAAUCCAGCACUCCCUGGGUCCUGCAGAAAACCAGCUGCGCUGCGCCCGCAGAGACCCUGUCUCACACUCCAGGCCUCGCGGUGGGUACACUGCUGGGUAACCUCCAGCGCGCUAGUCACCGAACCCCCUGGGCUCCCAUUUCUGCGUCUGUGAUCGAAGAUAAGGCCGGUCUCGCCAGGCGGUGGCGGGGAGCCCACAGCUCUCAGAUAUCAAAUUUCUGCCGCAGCGCCGCGCCAGGUCAGAACCAGGGUCCCAACCUCUCCAGGACCCUGCGGCUGGCGGGCUCCCGUGGGAGAGGGCGCCUGCUUCCCGGACCAGCUCUCUUUGGGGAGGGAGGGGGAGCCGCGCAGCUCAAGCGCCGGCCUCCGGUGACCGCCCGCCCGCCCCGAGGCCUGGCUCCCCGCCUCCCUUUCCCUUCCCCCACCCGCGUCCCAGCUCUGGGUUUCGUCUCGGCCUCGGGAGCCUCCGGGUCCCACCGCGCGCCGCUCCGGGCCAAGCCACGGGGCUCUGGCGCCUUGAGCAUCGGAGCAGGUCCUGCCCUCGCCCCGGGCGGGGGCACCUAAGAGCUGCCCCUCCGCCCCUUGCUUCGGGCCAGCGGUGGACACUCGGCCGUGGGGGCAGCUGCCGGGUCCGCCCCGCCCCGCCCUCGCCCCGGCGCGCAGAGCCGCUGCCAGGAACUGGAAUAUUAAUAGCCGCCGAGGGAGGACGGCUCAGGAAGGCCCCACCAGCCGCCGCGUUCCUCGGACGCUGCGGGGUCAGGCAGGCCCUGCCCACGUCUUGCAGAGUCAGGUCCCGGAGCCCACGCAGCACGCCCACGGCCCCCAUACAGCAGCCGCAGCGCCCAGACCCUGAUUUCACCGCUCCUGGCAGGAGCACCUGUCCCGGAUUGGUUGGGAGUGUUCCUCCCACCUGAAAGUCAUCCUUCAUUGAAACUUGUACUGAAGCCGGGUGUGGUGGCAAGCUCGUAAUCCCGGCACUCUGGAGGCGGAAGUGAGAGGAUUGCCCAAGGCUAAGGUCAGCCUGGUAGUGAGCCCUUGACUCAAACACAAAUUAUUGCUACAAUGCAAGCACAAAAACCCUUUCUUUCCCAGAACCUGAGGGAAAACAAAAAAAAAGGAGAUUUGAAACAUGCAACAGCCACAGACGGCCAUGAGAGCUCCCGGACGCCUCUGUUCUGUGUGUGUGUGUAGAGAAUUGGGAAAGAGCAAGCCAGCCUCGCAGGCCCAUUGACUGAGGGGAAGACUGACUGGCCUUGCUGGUUCCACCAGUGGUGUCGGAGUCAGGAUGACAGUUUUGGGCUAGGUGUGAUGCACCCAUCCGACACGCAAGGGUAGGGCUGAGCAAAUACUGACCAGACAGGUCUCCGAGCAGAGAUGGGAGACAGGAGUGAGCAAACACACACCUGCCGGUUCUGCGCUGGCCACUAAGGGAACCACCAGCCAGCCUCCUGUGCUGUGGAGCCCGUGAUGUUACAGUACUCAUCUUAGACGGAGGGUCUCACUGUGUAGGCUGGCCUGGAACUGUUACCAGGAUGGCUUCGAAUGCAAGGAUCAGCCUGCCUCUGUCUCUCCAGUGUCGGGAUCCCAACCUGGACUACAUUUUUUUUUCCAGACAGGGUUUCUCUGUGUAGCCUUGGCUGUCCUGGACUUUGUAGAUCAGGCUGACCUCGAAAUCACAGAGAUCCGCCUGCCCCAGCCUCCCUGAGCGCUGGGAUUACGGGCAUGCGCCAUCACGUUUAGCCCGGCUGGGCUAAACUUUUAUUUUAAUUUAAACUUUUACUUUAAUUAAUUUAAAUUGAAGAACAGUUAUUGAUUCAAUUAUUUGAAAAUCUCUAUUAUGUCUGGAACAACUAGGCCAGAGACAUCUGCUUUUUCAAUGGCAGAAUUCAUGGGAUCUGAAUACGGACUGAGAAGAUUUUCCCAUCCAGCUGCACACUAAUUUUUAAUUAUUAUUGGGGCUGGAGAGAUGGCUCCAGUCCCUGGUUAGGAGGGAGCACAGCUCUUGCAGAGGACUAAUCUGCUGUCCAUGUCUGCAUUGGGUGGUUUACAGUCACCUCCAAGUCCAGCUCUGGGGAAUCAGAUGCACUUUUCUCUUUGUGUAUAUGGUGUCUUGCCUGUGUGUGUGUGUGUGUGUAUGUGUGUGUGUGUGUGUGUGUGUCCACCAUGUGCUUGCCUGGUGCCCAGGGAAGAUAAAAGAGGGCAUCAGAUCCUCUUUGUCAGCCACUCCGAAGUCUUCAAAACUCUUCCUGUUCUCCUUAUUUGUUUGUCUAUUUUGUCUUGAGGCAGAGUUUUUCUAUGUAGACCAGGCUGGCCUCGAACUCACAGAGAUCCUCCUGCCUCUCUGGCUCCUGAGUGCCGGAAUUAAAGGCCAGCAGCAGUAGGCCUACCUAAUUGUGCUUCUUUUGUUGUUGAUUUUUUGUUUGUUUUUUAUUUUUCAAGAUAGGGUUUCUCUGUGUAGCCCUGGCUGUCCUGGAACUCACUCUGUAGACCAGGCUGGCCUCGAACUCACAGAGCUCCACCUGCCUCUGCCUCUGGAGUGCUGGAUCAAAGGUGUGUACCACCACCACUGCCUGGCUUAUUUAUGCUCCUUAAGACUGCAGGUGAAAGCUGGGUGUGUCAGGGUAUGUCCGUUGUGUGUUUUCCAGGGCCAGCCACAGAACUGUCAGAAGAGGGUUCUGGUUCAGCCACGGUUCCUGAAUAUCUCAAGUGCUUAAGUGUUCACAAGAAUUCUGGUGUGUGUAUGUGUUCCAGGUUUUCAUGUAAAAUGAGACACAGAGCCAUAAGGAACAGGAGCUGCUGGGUGUGGAGGGGACCAGCUCUCAAAAGAGGCCUCUCUCACUACCCAUCAUUAGUGUCAGCCAUCCCCAACACCCCCAAGGACAGGGCUCUUGUGUAUCUUUGCUUUCCCAUUAACUCUAACAGAGUCCAAGCCCUGACACCAAGCAGUGGCCCUUCCUCAGUCCAGAGAUGCCCUGAAGUGAGGUGGAGAGGCCAGACACCUGCUGUGCCCCCAAGUCCUAAGGUUACCAUUGCCUCCCAGCUGCCCUGACAGAGGAGCCAGGAACCGGGCUCUGUCUGUCUCGAAGAGUCUGCACUGCUCUGGACCCCUUGUUUACGGACUCAGGACGUGACCAGCAGCGCUGCUCAGGUACCCCUAGCCCUCUGGGUGGCACCACACCUCGCUGUUGCUGUUUUGUUCCCCACUGUUCCUUUUUUCGCCCCAUGCUCCCCCUGUCUCUGCUCUGUCCCUUUUGGUGGCUUCUAGGGAGUUCAUUGAGCAGAGAAGGGUGGGGCAUCCUUUGGGAGGAGUCCUACAGAGAGGUUCAGGGCAGCAGAGACCUGGGUGAGACUGGACCAAGAUGGAGCUGUGCCAGGCCAGGACUGGGUAGAGCUGCAUUUUCCAGGUAUGAGGGAAACAUUUGCUGUCCUCUGGAGACAAGGAAUGGAUGGAGGAAAGAGGCAACUAGGAAGGUGUUCUAUUGUCCUUAGACCCUUCAUCAUCCAAUUUCCAUGCCCAGGUAAGAACCGACCUGUCUCUAAUCUGGCAUUUACCAGGCUGAAUAGUCACUGCUUGCCCAGUGAGUACACCCAGGCGCUUCCUCCUUCCAAAGCCCUGACCUCUGGCUAAGGAACUAGCAUUGGCCUGUCAGCCACAACCAGAAAUGACCUAUGUCACUUCUGGAUCAGCAACCUAAGUGCUCUGUGUCCUGUCUGUCCCACGGCAGAGUGAUUGUACUUGUCCUCAAGUUGUCUCUUCUAGGAGUCUGGCUCCCUGAGACUCUGGGUAGGUAGGGCCGAGCCUUGCUCUCCACACUCCAUCCCCCCAAAAUGGCCACAGAACGUGGUUGAAUGAUGAACGUUGCUGAAUGCAGUCCCUGUGAUCUGGGGCUGACUUCCGGCCUUAGAACCUGGCUGGAAGGGACUGGCAAACCCCUCAGCAGCAACCCCCAUCCCCACCACUCAUGGGGUGAGUAGAGAUCAUGACUGAAGGUGGAAUGGGCUGGGACAAGGUUCACCGCCUCUGGGCCUGCUGCCCAGAGCUGAGCUGCCCGGGAGCAGCCUACAGAAGGAGGACAAUGACAGACAGGAGUGGGCAGAGAGAAGGCAGGGACAGCAGUGGCUCCUCCCAGAGCCAGCCCUGGCUCAGGAAGAAGAGAGGCCAGAGAGCAGGUUGGGCCUCAAGGCUGGAACAGUUUCCUUAUUGUGUUGACCUGCCAGGCCACGUGACUCCUUCACUUAAUAACCCAUAAUAAAGCUGGGUGCAGUUGUGAACCCCUUUAAUUCCAGCACUGGGGAGGAUCGCUGUAUGUCUGAGGCCAGCCUGAGCUUCCAAGAGAGUGUCAAAACAAACACAAAUAAAAAUACUACACACAGCGGGGCGUGGUGGCACAUCUCAGCACUCAGGGAGGCAGAAGCAGGCGGAUCUCUGUGAGUUCGAGGCCAGCCUGGACUACAAAGUGAGUCCUAGGACAGCCAGGGCUACACAGAGAAACCCUGUCUCAAAAAAACAAGAAAAAAAUUUACAACAACCAUACAAAUACGUGUACAAAUACAAAACCACACAUGCAAACACAUACACAAAUACCAACUUUUAGCACACACAUACAUAAAACUCACCAACACAAGUACAUGCAAGCACAAGCAUACACACAAAGGCACACAUUACACACUAAGGUGAGGAUAGCCUUUUUAGGUGGACCCCUUCAUCUUAGCUCUACUGCCCUUGCUCCCCAGAACUCGGUCCAUUGCCUGGUUUGUUGUAAAGAAGGAGGUCUGUGCGAGUUUUCCUAGCUGAAAUGCCUUUCAGACUUCACCUGAGCCUUGGUCCUGCCCUGACGUGGACUCCUAAGACAGUUUCUCUCCUCCUAUGUCCCUUGCCUCUCUGAGGUGCAAACAAGGGACUGUCCCUUCCCCAGAUGCCAUGUCUCACACAGGGUGAUCAUCUGACAAAUGAAGGCUGAAGUCUCACUGAGGGAUAGGAAGAGGGAUGUAUCCUAGAGGAGGAGGGGAGAUGCUAAAGGCAGUUCUAAGAUGUGUGUGUGUGUGUGUGUGUGUCUGUGGGUUGGCCUGGAACUUGCUAUAUAGACCAGAUUUGCCUCAAACUCACAGAGAUGCACUUGCCUCUGCCUCUCUAAUGCUAAAAUGAAAGCCAUGUGCCACCAUGUCUAGCUAAGACAUGUUUUCUUUUGUUUUUUGUUUUGUUUUGUGAGACAGGCUCUCCCUGUGUAGCCCUGGCUGACCUGGAACUCACUCUGUAGAUCAGGCUGUCCUCAAACUCAGAGAUCCACUGGCCUCUUUCUACCAAGUGUUGGGAUUAAAGGUGUGUAUGCCCACUGCCCACAGAAGACAUGGGUUUUGAACUGAGGUUUCCUUGGAGUGGGGACGCUUUGCUACAGAGAUUUUGUUGUAGGCAUAGGGGAAAAUGCACCCGCUCCAUGCUAAGGAUGCAGUAAUGACACUGCUUGGGGUCCUGCUUUUCUUCCUCUCCCUGUCCCAGCUCCCUUCAGUCCCUGCCUCUGCCUCUAGCUAAGGGCAAGGCCAGGCUGCACCAGGCGCUGGGCUCAGACACCACACCUUCAUCACCCCGAGAGGCAGGUAUGAUGGUGUCAUUCGUAGCCAAGUAACUGUGGCGCAGAGACCUGAGACCUUCUCAACAAGGGGUAGUACACACUCGACUGGGGCCUGGCGUUCAUGCUGCCCUUCCUGCUCCACAGGACCUGGGGGCCUUGCCUGGGCCUCUCAGCCUGGGACAGACUUGGGGCUGAUCCUUUUCCAGUCUCACUUUUCUUUCCCCAUGCACGUUGUGGUAAUAGAGAUAUCCUUGGUCACCGGCCAACUGGACUCUCCACGUUGCCAUUGGUAAUGGAAGCCAGGACAGUACUGAGCUUUGAGUGGCUAAAUAGCUUUACCCCGUGGGCUCUGUCUGUAUGCUGGCCCUAAAUGUCCCUGCCAAUGUGUCGAAGGACUCAGCAGUGUCACAGUCAGCCACUGGGGCAUCACCCAGGCUUGAUGGUUUACCGACAGCCUAAUUUCUGUGUUAAAACAGAGGCCCAGUCAACAGAGCAGCCACAUUUGGUUGCAGCUCCUCAGAGAGCAGGAACCCGCCUUUGCCGGGAGACCAUCAUUCCCAGCUCCGUCACCCAUGACAUUCCAUUAACCCGUGGGGUCUCAGGAGAGGCAGGGUGACUGGUGAUUCUGCUGCUGACUGAACUGUAGCUCCUCAGGUUCCACAUGACCAAGGUCACAUGACUGAUGCCAGGGGAGCUGGCAUUGGGACCCAGGGCUUCGUGACCCCAAAGUCCACAUUUCCUUCCUGCCAUCUUUCUAGAAGCAAUGGGGGGGGGAGUUGGGGGGCUUCCCAUGAAAUCUGGCAAAGCAGGGCCUGAGGGUUCCCGGGAACUGACUCUAAGAGCUUUGCUGCCCUCAUGGGCCUGGGCCUCCCGAGCUCCUGGCUGAGUAGUCCUCUUAAUGGUGUCUCUCUGGGAUUGUGACUGUCUGUCUCCUGGCAGUUCUGCGUAUUGUCGCUUGCUGAUACCUGGCUGCUUCAGGCUCUGACCUCUGGUGGCUCAAGGAAUCGCUUAGUGGGUAAGAGUUUUUGCCCCACAAGCCAGGUGUCUGCAACCCUAGCACUGAGUGUGUGUGUGUGUGGUUGUAUGUACUUGUGUGUACAUGUAUGUAUGCUGUGCCCAAGUGUGUGUGCAUGUUUGCAAAUAUGUUCCUGUGUUUGUGUGCUUGCAUGUGUGUUUCUGUGUGCCUAUGUGUGCAUGUGUGUGUGAGCUCAUGUGUGUAUGUGUGUAUAUGUACAGGUUUGUGCGUGCAUAUGCUUGUGGAGUGUGUGUGUGUGUGCAGAGACAGGAGGUUUGCUGGAGCUCGCUGGCCAGGCACUCCCUGCUUCACCCUCUCUCCUACAGUACUCUAUGAACAGGACUCACUAAGGCUGUUCCAGAUGCACACUGCCCCUCAGUACCCUUCAGGGUAUAAGAACAGGGCUGCAUAGGGGAAUUAGCUCAAAGGUAGAGUGACAGCCGAGCAUGUAUGGGGCCUUGGGUUCCAACGCUAGAGUUCAAAAAUGAAACAAAAACUUCAACUGAGGGAAAAGUGUACAUUCCGGACUCCUGGAAAAAGCUGGUUUCUGUAAGAAUCUGAGCCAAAAGCAGAUUGGAGAAGAGACAGGACACAUUUCUUAAGGACCUACCGCGCUGACUAACUAAUCCAGGCACUGCAUGUUUGUGUGUGAGGGCACAUGAACGGGUGUGGCACGCUUAAUCCUUAUUGUUGGUUUAAUUAGAUUAGGAAUCAGCUAGAUAUGCCCUGGGCAGGUCUAGGAGGCCCUUCUAGGAAGGAUUAAGCAGAGGGAGAAGGCUCUCCCUCCCCUCGGUGGGGGUUGCCGCCCAGACUGAAGAACCGAGGGACCUUUUCUUUCUUUCUUUCUUUCUUUCUUUCUUUCUUUCUUUCUUUCUCUUUCUUCUUUCUUUCUUUCUUCCUUUCUUCCUUCCUUCCUUCCUUUCUUUCUUUCCUUUCUUUUCCUUCCCUUUCCUUUCCUUUCUUUCUAAUUUUUGCUUUAGGAGACAGGGUUUCUCUGUGUAGCCUUGGCUAUCCUGGAACUCACCAGGCCCAGGCUGGCCUCAAACUCAGAGAUCUAGCUGCCUCUGCCUCCAGGGAGUGCUGGAAUUAAAGGAGUGUGCGACCAGCAACACCACCACUGCCUGGCCUGAGGGAGCUCUCAGAGUCACCUAAAGGAAUGCCUUAACGGAGGAAUUAAUGUGUUCAUGUGGCAUGUCUAUGGGGGGGUUGUCUUGUUUCAUUGGUGGUUUUUUUGUUUUGUUUGUUUGUUUGUUUGUAUUCUCCCCCACUUCUCACCCCUGGGCAGGAUUUCUGUGCAUCCCUGGCUGUCCUGGAAUUUGUUCUGUAGAGCAGGCUGGCCUUGAACUCAUAGAUCCACCUCCCUCUGCCUCCUGGGAGGGCUGGGAUUAAAGUUGUGUGCCACUACUGCCUGGCACUGAUUGUUAAUUGAUGUAAGAGAGCCCCCCCCCAUUUUGGGAGGCACCAUUCAUUCCCAGGGCAACUGGUCUUGAACUGUUAAGUUGUUUCCACGUGUGUGUGUGUGUGUAUGAAUAUGUGGGUGAAGAUGCACAUAUGUGCAAGUGCAUGUGUGUGUGGACAAUAUUAAUGUCUUCCUCAAUUAUUCCUCCGUCUUUUUUUUUAAUGCAGCAUGGUCCUGCCAUGUAGCCCUGAGUAUGCUGGUAUCGGCUAUGUAGACCAGGCUAGCCUCACUCACAGAAAUCACCAGCCUGCCUCUGCCUCCCAAGUGCUGGAAGAAAGGCAUAUGCCGUCACUCCUGGCCACCUUGUUUCUCUCACUGGACCUGGCGCUCACCAGUUGGCUACACUGGUUGGCUAGUAAGCAACAGAGCCAGGUGCUGGGCUCGGAGGUACAUGCCACGGCACCCAGCUUUUAAUGUGGGAGCUGGGGAUCUGAACUCAGACCCCAAGCUUGCUUGUGCAGCAUGGCUGAGCCCUCUCCGCAACCCCCAUGUCUAUUCUGUGCAAUUUUCACAGCAGUCCUGUGAGGGGGGGCUGUUGUCGCCCCCAGCUUUGAGGACUCUGAGGUUCACAGCUAUCAGGGCUCAUAGCUGCCAUUCAGCAAUGGCAGGAAGCAUGGUUUCCCUCCACACUUUCCUGUUUCUGAAAGUGGGCUGUGGGCUAGGGAGAUGGCUCAGUGGGCAAAAGUGCUUUCUGCACAAGUGUGAGGACCUGAGUUCGAAUCCCCAGAACUCACAUAAAAGCCAGGCAUACAAAAUGAGCUGUGCUAGUGCUAGCACUCCCCCAGCAUGAUGGGAGACAGAGACGGUGAAACCUCAGAGGCUCACAACUGGCCUGGCGCACAGAGCAGAGAACAACUGAGGCCCCAUCCCAAGCAAGGAGGAAGUGAGGACAUACAUCCCAGGGCUGUCCUUUAUGGCUACCUGUGCACUGUGGCAUACACAUUCACACAUGCAUGCAUGAGCACACAGAGGGAGGAGCGGGAGAGAGAGACGAGUUUGGGUACUGUUGGGUUCAGGGUGGAGGCCAAGAAAACUCACUUCAGAUACAGAAGCUUAAAAUGAAAGCUUUACCUUUUGAGCUCAAGGAGGCGGCCAGUUUGGGAUCUGAACUGCAUCCCCGAGGGGAAGCUUGUAUUGCAUAUUUAAAGGGUGAAAACCGAAAGGUGAGGGGGCUUUGGUGGGUGUCAGGGUCAUCCAAUCAAAUUCUAACAUUGUGGGUUAAGCAAGGGAGUUUCUGUUGGAGGCUGGGCCUCAUCCAGGACACUUGGCCUCAAGGCCUUUAACUAUUUUCCAAGACGGUUGGUCUGGAAUCAAGGUCCUUAAUUUAUCCUCCUAGACAUUUCUUCCUGAGCUCAAGGUGAUCGAUCAGGGAACAAAGAAGUAGAUUAUCUGUCUGUAUUGAGGGCUUUGCAGCCAGUAUACUUUUAUGAUUUAGGCACCUAAGUUAAAAUAAAAGCAAGUUUCACAAAAAAA